CUGGGAGGUAGCGUUUCACCAUAUUGAAUUUGGGGAAGGAUACAGUCAGUCUAUAGCAUCUGCUUCCCUCUCAGAAGCCCGUUGCUGUCACAUGGACAAGCAAGCAAGAAGGAAGAUGAAAGACACAUGGCCCAGUCAACACUCCCUGCUGACUAUACAGCUAACCUCCAGAAGCAGAGCCACCUACCUGGCCUGCAGGGCCCACGGAAGGAAGACCCAUGGAGACCCACAGGUGAAGUAUAUUGAAUGGAAUUACAACUUUCAGAGGAAAGAGCCAGAUUAUAAAAGGGCCUAAGCUUUAAAACACCUGCUGUAGAAGAAAAGAAAAAAAGAACCUGUCUUCACCUGGAAAAGUCAGAGAAAUUCCAUAGAAAAACCAUCAGGAAGAAAUUCCCUGGGACCAGGGACAGACCAGGAAAUUUUAAUGACAUCUAUUAAAUUUUAGAUUAUUUUGUGUCCAAA
This 462-nucleotide long non-coding RNA is filed under the name Canis lupus familiaris (dog). Its description in RNAcentral is "lncRNA (ENSCAFG00000058319.1)". Lineage: Eukaryota; Metazoa; Chordata; Mammalia; Carnivora; Canidae. The record is from RNAcentral.